AUUGGAAGGAGGCUGUAGUGGGAGUCGGAGGACCAGAGCGGGCGCGCGAGGGAGGCGGCGGGCGGGGAGUGAGCGAGGCAGAGCGAGCGAGCGGGCGGGCGAGGCCGGCGUCCCCACCCCCCCCUAACCCCCGGCGGCGCCCGGGGCCUCGGUCCACCCACGGGGAGGACGAACUUCACCAGGGCCGCACCCGAGGUAUGUGGAACUCCCAGGCGGGGAGUCCAAUCAGAGCUGUAGCCUCCGGCCUGAGUCAGAGCCCUGGCAACAUGGGAUCUGAGCCAAGUCUGCGACCUGCACCACAGUUCGUGACAAUGCUGGAUCCUUAACCUCCUGAGCGAGGCCAGGGAUCGAACCCACGCCCUUAUGGAUAAGAGUCGGGUUUGUUACCACCGAGCCGCGACGGGAACUCCUGGCCUGGGCACUUCUACAUGCUGUGGGCAUGGCCAAAAAAAAUUGGUUUUAUUGUAAGUUUUCUCUCCCCCUCCUCUUUUAAAGCUAUCACCCCGCUAAUGAGGGUGGGAGCAACAGAAAACAAUUCUCCAGUCCUGGGAGUCGUGGCGCAUGGAAAUCAGGAGGACCUAGGUACGGAGGGCCAGGGAGGAAAGCCAGAAUUGUCCCUGUACGAGGUGGCCUUGGGCCCUCAGGAGCACAGUGGGUGAUUUUCGUCGCUGGUAGCAAACUGAGGGUGCAGCCCCAGCGCUGUCCCCUGGGAGGUCCGGACCUCUCUGCCUCGCUGCUCCCCCUGGGUGGUCAGGUCCCCCUGGGCUCCUCCCGGGGUCGGGCUGGCCUCAGGCUUGAAGCUGGCCACGCAGAGCCGGCUCCACUUACCCUGCGAGUGGAAGUGCAUGUCGCUAACUGAAAAGUCACGUUUUGCCAACCUGACGUAGCUGAGCGUCCGUGGAAAUUGGCCUUGGGGAUUAUUUUAGAAAGCGUGCUAGACUUGGUGAGAAUAAACUUGCGCGGUAGUUCGAGUGAGCCUCUGGGGAACUCGGAGACCAAGGUCUGCCUCGGCUUUUCGUGUGACCUUGGCCGAGUCUCUUUCCUUUUAUCUUCCACCUGCUGUGGGGUUUUUCCUGUGACGAAGGGCAGGACGGAUUGCUUUCUAGGCCCGCACAUAGUUAACAACCCUGCUUAAAAGUAAAAGACAUGUUUGCUUUUCCAGUAUUGUGACAAAGACACUCUUUGUUAGAGAAACAAAAAACUCUUCCUGCCUUUACAAAGGUUUGUACUUAACAAUUGCAGAGGAAGCAUUUACACUUGCAGCCACGCCUCGCCCCCAUCUUCACACUGGGAAGGAUGUUUCUCUCCUGGUGGUUUUUUUUUAAGUUAUAUACUGAAUAGCAGUCAUUUUGUCUGGGCGCUGAGCAGAAGUGCUCCGUGGGCAGAGGGGUCUGUCCUUUGGUGUAGAUGAUGCCAGUUGGGGUGUGACAGAGGUUUGCGACAGAGACUCUGAAGACACUGUCUGGAACAGCCUUGCAGCGGGUGCUCUGUCUGAAAGAGGCAGUGCCUCUCAAGCACCGUGGGCAGCCUUUGCCACGAGACGAGUGCUGCUGGGAGCCGCUGGGAGCCGUCGAAAAGCCGAGGGGGUUGGAGGGGGAAGCCCACUGCCAGAAUUUCGGUUGGGAUCCUCCGGUGUUUGCAGUCAUUUCUGUAGGGAAGAUGCUGGAUUUGCCUGUCUGAGGGCAGAGAAGCGGGAAGGGCAGCCUUAGAGUGGACUUGGGUGUGGGGAAGAAUCAGCCUGGGAAGGAAGAGGAGGGUUCCUCUGGGAGGCCCUUAGUCCCCCUAUGUGUGAACAGGAGGACGGAGGCCUCGAAGGUGAAAUUAAGAAAUCCAGGAGUUCCUGUAACGAACUGGCUCAGCCCUAACGAACCUGACUAGCAUCCAUGCGGACGCAGGUUCGGUCCCUGGCCUCACUCAGUGGGUUAAGGAUCUGGCGUUGCUGUGAGCUGUGGUGUAGGUUGCAGACACGGCUCAGGUCCCGUGUUGCUGUGGCUGUGGUGGAGGCCGGCAGCUGCAGCUCUGAUUCGACCCCAGCCUGGGAACUCCCAUAUGCCGCAGGCGCACCUCUAAAAAGCAAAAAAAGAAAAGAAAUCCGGAGUGCAGAUGUUUAUCUUUUGAAAUAUCUCAUUUAUUUUCUUAAUUAAUAUGGUUGGGGUUAACUCACUCCAUUAAACUUCAUCUGCUUCCAGUUAUUCUUUUAUGAUGCCUCAUCUUUUAUUUGUAAACACACAAACAGCAGAUAUAAACAUCACUUCCCCAACCUCCAGUUGUUUGUUGGGGGCUGUUGUUUAAACCCUAUGUGGCUCAUUUUGCCCAGAUCCGUCUGCUAAGGUUGCCACGGAUGGGUCCACCUGAUUUUGGCCGCUAAAUGCUACAGGCCUCAUCCUGUGUAUUUGAUCUUGGUUCAUCUUAUUUCCAAGUUCUCUGCCUUCAUUUUCCACGUGACCCAAAUUCAAAGAGGCUUUUAAAGUCCCAGAGAGGUUAAAGAGAUGUAUCUCCCAGGUUUUUUGGUUUUUGUUUUUCAGGGUGAUUUUUUGGAUAUUUAUCGAGCAGCAGGUGCCAAGGAGAGAGUCUUCCGAGCUGCGCAGAGGCGGAGGGUGGGUGGGGAGGCUCUAGCCAGGCCAGUUUUCGCAGAAGCGUUGACCUCAGUUUGCUAAUUAAACAGAGAAGAAAGUCGGGGUGCAGCUUGUGAUGUGUCAGUUGAACCCGAUGGUUUCCAAGGUCCUUCAGGGCCUCACGCUUGGUGGAUCCAACCCUGCCAGGUGUGCGUCCCUGAUUUCAGGUAAGGAGAUGCAGACAACAGAUGCCAUCUUAAUAGAGGCUGAUGGUUAAGGAGCACCUCCUUUUUGUCUGCUCCCCUCUCCCUUGCUCCCCAAUAGUCCAUAGCGCUGUUACUGAAAAACAGCCACCUCUGGAAUCAAACACCAGCCCUGCUUCUCUCUGCUCUUUAACCUUCUCUUUGGAGGCAGGAGAAUGGCUCUAAGGGAAUAACAGAGUAUUUGGAGCCUUGGGUUCUGGCUCUUGUCAUUGGUUGUCUUUUUUUCUUUUUUAAAAACAAUUUUUUUAUUCUCUUUUUUUUUUUGGCUGUGCCUGCAGCAUGCAGAAGUUCUUGGGCCAGAGAUCAAACCACUACCACGGUGGUGACAAAACCACAUCCUUAACCCACUGAGCCACCAGGGAACUCCUCAUUCAUUGUCUUUAAAACUCUAACUUAAAAUAGGCUUUACUCUUGGAGUUUCUGUUACAGCUCAGUGGUAAUGAACCUGACGCGUCUCUGUGAGGAUGAGGGUUUGAUCCCUGGCCUCACUCAGUGGGUUAAGCGUCCGGCAUUGCUGUGGGCUCUGGUGUAGGUUGAAGACGUGGCUUGGAUCCCACAUUGCUGUGGCUGUGGUGUAGGCUGGCACCUGCAGCUCUGAUUUGACCCCUAGUCUGGGAACCUCCAUAUGCUGCAGGUGCAGCUCUAAAAAAGCAACAAACAAACAAGAAACUUUAUCUUCCCAGCUGGCUGCAAAAUGCAGACUGCCCUCUUCCCCUCUGCAUCCCUGUCCUGACCUGAUGCACCUCUUUGCUGAGAGCUUCUGGGAUCCGGCUUAGACCGUGGUGAAAAUUUCCAUUUUUGAGUCUCCAUUCCGUUUGGGCAGAUGCUAUAUUAUUCUCUCUGGCCACAGACACUUUUAACCAGGAGGUCUGGGAAAACCCAGAUAUCCUCAGGUCCGUGAGUGGGAGGGGAGACCACAGGAGGCUUCUAGAACAGUCCCUGCAUUUUGCAGAUGACAACAGUGUUGCUUGUUGUGCUUAAAAAGUUGGAGAGUACAUUUCACCAAGGGCUGGUUACAUUAUAGCGGUUCUUUUUUUUUGUCUUUUUGCUAUUUCUUGAGCCGCUCCUGCGGCAUAUGGAGAUUCUCAGGCUAGGGGUCGAAUCGGAGCUGUAGCCACCGGCCUACACCAGAGCCACAGCAACGCGGGAUCCGAGCCGCGUCUGCAAACUACACCACAGCUCACGGCAAGGCCGGAUCCUUAACCCACUGAGCAAGGGCAGGGACCGAACCCGUAACCUCAUGGUUCCCAGUCGGAUUCGUUAACCACUGCGCCACGAUGGGAACUCCCAGGGUUCUUCAUAAACCCAAGUAAACAUGGGUGUUUUUAAAUUGACUCUGCAGUAGGGAUUUGCAGUUGGAUGGACCCCACUCGAGUAAACUUCCUUUCUUCAUUUAAAUGAUACAAUUCAUACCAUUUGGUUGGUGCCCACUUUAUGGAUCUGUGCCUAUGGCUUCAAGACUGUCCCUGAAAUGCUCUUCAGUUGUUGGGAAUCCCUAGCUCCGUUGCUGAGCUCUGCAGGCUGGGGUGACUCCAGGUUUCACCUUCGAGAGGUGGGCUCAGUCGGUCCUUUUCAUCGGCCAGCGUCUUAGUCAAUGACUGUGGCACCUCCGAAGCUUGUCUGUCCUGCACAUGUCCUGCUCGAAGUUGUCCAUUCAUGAAAUCCCCUCUGAAAAUUAGGCACCGAUGAUUAGAUGUUAUCGCUGCACAUCUAACGUGCAGAGGGGUCCCGUGUUAAGAAUUCUUUAUUUCUUGCGUUCUCGUGACUGUAUAUGCAACACAUGGGCUGGUUUCUCUGAACUGACGCGUAUGCAUAGGGGUGUGCUGUGCAACGCAGUUCUGUAGCACAUGAGGUUACCCGCUUUGUUCUAAGCUUGUGGUCCUGCUCUCAUUCAUUCCUGUUCAGGUUGUAGGUGACAGGGAAAUUCUGGGUUUCAAGUUUGUGCAAGAUGUUAGCACCAGAUGUCUUUGCUCCCUAGAAAGUCCUGUCUCUUUGACGAGGCCCCACCGCCAAGCUCUUCUGUGUCAGAUAUUUCAUGUCAGCCAGUCGUAUGCCAGCCUAAGAAGGGUGUUUACCUUUGAGUAGCUUGGAAGUCAGUUUCCGCUGUAAGAAAUCCUAUAUGGCUGCCUCCAUGCAAAGACCCAUAGUAGAGUAGGUUUUUUUUUUUUUUUUUGUCAUUUCAGGGCUGUACCCUUGGCCUUUGGAGGUUCCCAGGCUAGGGGUCGAAUUGGAGUUUAGCCGCCGGCCUACACCACAGCCACAGCAACGCCAGAUCCGAGCUGCGCCUGCGACCUACACCACAGUUCACAGCAAUGCUGGAUUCUUAACCCGCUGAUCGAGGCCAGGGAUCAGCCAGGGAUCAGACCCGCAUCCUCAUGGAUAAGUCAGGUUCUUAACCCGCUGAGCCACAAUGGGAGCUCCUGAUGGGGUACAUCAAGGCCUCACCCUCUUGAUGAUAAAUAAGCAGUAACUGAUAGGUAAAUAGUAGAUAAAUGAACUUUCAGGAUGGGGCACAGCUCGUCUGCAGCUUCGGGGUUUUCUCUUCUCUUGAGCCAGUCACUCGGAAGGCUGUUCUCUUUCUCCCCGUGCACGCGUCUGUUUGUGAAGCUUGCCGCCCGAUGGGGAGGUUAGGUGACAGUCACCACCGUGAAUUAGAAGACACAGUCUGUUUUUGUGGGGACCCCAGGCCGCCGCCAGCCCUGGUGCUUAGCCCUCGGCCAUCCCUUAGCCCCAGCAUAUCUUAUUUCCCGGGAUGGAGCUGUGAAUCUGGUUGGGAAAAAUGAGCAUUCUUAGGCUGGGGCCGCAGGUGGUGUUGGGUUUCAAUCUCUUUAGAGCCAAAACUCCUGAAAUCUGGUUGAAAAAUGGCCAGGCGACUGCCAUCCCUCCUCCGAGUAAAUCAAGCUCGGAGCUCCGGGCGGACGGCGCCACUCCAUGAACCUUUGCCCCCAAGAGCCCGUUCCCCUCCGUUGACGAUGGAGCCAGGCAAGGCCCUGCUCUUCUUAGAAGGGGCUGCGGGGGGCGGCGGCGGGGGGAGCUGGGAAGAGUGGGAGCUGAUGGGCUCCGUCAUGCUUUCGAAGCAGCGGGGUCCGGGUGACAGGUGACUGUGCAAAGAAGGGGUUUUUCCUUGUCGAUGGCUCCUGGGCACCUGACACCUGUUUUCAUCUUCAAAGCCAUUGGCAGAUACGGUUCUUGAAGAUGCUCCUGUGAUCGCCCAGGCUGUGAGCUGCUUCUCAGGGAACCGGAACCUGGGAUGUUUCAGAGAUCAGGUUUGGGCGAACAGUUUGGUGGUGCGCCCCCCUUCAGAAUCCUUGGGGGUUUUCCAUUUUGAUGGACAUGGUUGGAAAGGUCUCAGCGGGGAUGAGGUGUCCUAGUGCUCCUUUUGACAUUCCUGCGGUGCGACAGGAGGCAUCUGCUCUGUGAUCCAGACGUGCUGGAGUUCCAGGGGCUGCCACGGCAGGCCUGGAAUUUCCUAAGCUUUUAGUGUAGGCCUUGGCUUUUCAUGUUCCAUCUGGAGAGUAGUCUGUCUUCCGAGCCACAUAAAAAACAAAUAACUGCAAACCUUCCCCCUCUCAGAGUAGCAAGCCUGAGAUUGCAAGUAUGGUCAUUGGUAGUAAAUGGCCCGUUUGUUGCAGCUUUAAGGCAGAUCCCUUUGAAAGUACUGGA
Molecule: long non-coding RNA, 6481 nt
Filed under: Sus scrofa (pig)
Lineage: Eukaryota; Metazoa; Chordata; Mammalia; Artiodactyla; Suidae
Description: lncRNA (ENSSSCG00015071423.1)
Source: RNAcentral